UACGAAGGGGGCUAGCGUUGCUCGGAAUCACUGGGCGUAAAGCGCACGUAGGCGGCUUUGUAAGUUAGAGGUGAAAGCCCGGGGCUCAACUCCGGAACUGCCUUUAAGACUGCAUCGCUUGAAUCCAGGAGAGGUGAGUGGAAUUCCGAGUGUAGAGGUGAAAUUCGUAGAUAUUCGGAAGAACACCAGUGGCGAAGGCGGCUCACUGGCCCGGUACUGACGCUGAGGUGCGAAAGCGUGGGGAGCAAACAGG
Molecule: ribosomal RNA, 253 nt
Filed under: uncultured bacterium
Lineage: Bacteria
Description: partial 16S ribosomal RNA
Rfam family: Bacterial small subunit ribosomal RNA
Source: RNAcentral